This 71-nucleotide transfer RNA is filed under the name Dielma fastidiosa. RNAcentral's name for it is "Clostridiaceae bacterium JC13 tRNA". It matches the Rfam family "tRNA". Rfam says of the family: Transfer RNA (tRNA) molecules are approximately 80 nucleotides in length. Their secondary structure includes four short double-helical elements and three loops (D, anti-codon, and T loops). Lineage: Bacteria; Bacillati; Bacillota; Erysipelotrichia; Erysipelotrichales; Erysipelotrichaceae. The record is from Rfam by way of RNAcentral.
GGUACCAUAGCCAAGUGGUAAGGCAAUAGACUGCAACUCUGUGAUCAUCAGUUCAAAUCUGAUUGGUACCU